UACGUAGGGACCAAGCGUUGUUCGGAUUUACUGGGCGUAAAGGGCGCGUAGGCGGCAUUGUUAGUCACUUGUGAAAUCUCCGGGCUUAACUCGGAACGGCCAAGUGAUACUGCAGUGCUAGAGUGCGGAAGGGGCAAUCGGAAUUCUUGGUGUAGCGGUGAAAUGCGUAGAUAUCAAGAGGAACACCAGAGGUGAAGACGGGUUGCUGGGCCGACACUGACGCUGAGGCGCGAAAGCCAGGGGAGCAAACGGG
RNAcentral lists this ribosomal RNA (253 nucleotides) under uncultured bacterium. RNAcentral describes it as "partial 16S ribosomal RNA". It matches the Rfam family "Bacterial small subunit ribosomal RNA", at positions 524 to 776 of the family's 1533-position model. The record is from RNAcentral.